This 440-nucleotide ribosomal RNA is filed under the name uncultured bacterium. Its description in RNAcentral is "bacterial SSU rRNA". It matches the Rfam family "Bacterial small subunit ribosomal RNA", at positions 338 to 771 of the family's 1533-position model. The record is from RNAcentral.
CCUACGGGUGGCUGCAGUAGGGAAUCUUGCGCAAUGGGCGAAAGCCUGACGCAGCGACGCCGCGUGAGUGAUGAAGGCCUUCGGGUUGUAAAGCUCUGUGGGGAGAGAAGAAUAAGCAUGAGUUAAUACCUCAUGUGAUGACGGUAUCUCCUUAGCAAGCACCGGCUAACUCUGUGCCAGCAGCCGCGGUAAGACAGAGGGUGCAAACGUUGUUCGGAAUCACUGGGCGUAAAGCGCGUGUAGGCGGCUUGGCAAGUCGGGUGUGAAAUCCCAGGGCUCAACCCUGGAAGUGCAUUCGAAACUGCUUCGCUAGAGUACUGGAGAGGAAGGUGGAAUGCUUGGUGUAGAGGUGAAAUUCGUAGAUAUCAAGCGGAACACCGGUGGCGAAGGCGGCCUUCUGGACAGAUACUGACGCUGAGACGCGAAAGCGUGGGGAGCAA